ACUCAAAGGAAUAGACGGGGGCCCGCACAAGCGGAGGAACAUGUGGUUUAAUUCGAUGAUACGCGAGGAACCUUACCCGGGCUUGAAAUAUACUUGAAUAAUGUUGAAAGAUGUUAGCCAGCAAUGGCAAGUAUGUAGGUGCUGCAUGGUUGUCGUCAGCUCGUGCCGUGAGGUGUCGGCUUAAGUGCCAUAACGAGCGCAACCCCUAUUGUUAGUUACUAGCAGGUCAAGCUGAGGACUCUAACGAGACUGCCACCGUAAGGUGUGAGGAAGGUGGGGAUGACGUCAAAUCAGCACGGCCCUUACGUCCGGGGCGACACACGUGUUACAAUGGGAGGAACAGAGGGUCGCUACCUGGCAACAGGAUGCCAAUCUUAUAAAACCUCUCUCAGUUCGGAUCGGAGUCUGCAACUCGACUCCGUGAAGCUGGAUUCGCUAGUAAUCGCGCAUCAGCCAUGGCGCGGUGAAUACGUUCCCGGGCCUUGUACACACCGCCCGU
This 499-nucleotide ribosomal RNA is filed under the name uncultured bacterium. RNAcentral describes it as "bacterial SSU rRNA". It matches the Rfam family "Bacterial small subunit ribosomal RNA", at positions 899 to 1397 of the family's 1533-position model. The record is from RNAcentral.